This 497-nucleotide ribosomal RNA is filed under the name uncultured bacterium. RNAcentral's name for it is "partial 16S ribosomal RNA". It matches the Rfam family "Bacterial small subunit ribosomal RNA", at positions 28 to 507 of the family's 1533-position model. The record is from RNAcentral.
GAUGAACGCUGGCGGCGUGCCUAAUACAUGCAAGUCGAGCGAACAGGCGAGGAGCUUGCUCCUCUGACGUUAGCGGCGGACGGGUGAGUAACACGUGGAUAACCUACCUAUAAGACUGGGAUAACUUCGGGAAACCGGAGCUAAUACCGGAUAAUAUAUUGAACCGCAUGGUUCAAUAGUGAAAGACGGUUUUGCUGUCACUUAUAGAUGGAUCCGCGCCGCAUUAGCUAGUUGGUAAGGUAACGGCUUACGAAGGCAACGAUGCGUAGCCGACCUGAGAGGGUGAGCAGCCACACUGGAACUGAGACACGGCCCAGACGCCUACGGGAGGCAGCAGUAGGGAAUCUGCCGCAAAGGGCGAAAGCCUGACGGAGCAACGCCGCGUGAGUGAUGAAGGUCUUCGGAUCGGAGAACUCUGUUAUUAGGGAAGAACAAAUGUGUAAGUAACUAUGCACGUCUUGACGGUACCUAAGCAGAAAGCCACGGCUAACUACGUG